UACGAGGGGUGCAAGCGUUGCUCAGAAUUAUUGGGCGUAAAGGGUAGGUAGGUGGUCUCAUUUGUCUGAGGUGAAAGCCUUGAGCUUAACUCAAGAAGUGCCUUAGAAACGGUGAGACUGGAGUCCUGGAGAGGGUCGUGGAAUUCCCGGUGUAGCGGUGAAAUGCGUAGAGAUCGGGAGGAACACCAGCGGCGAAGGCGGCGACCUGGACAGGUACUGACACUCAACUACGAAAGCGUGGGUAGCAAACAGG
RNAcentral lists this ribosomal RNA (253 nucleotides) under uncultured bacterium. RNAcentral describes it as "partial 16S ribosomal RNA". It matches the Rfam family "Bacterial small subunit ribosomal RNA", at positions 524 to 776 of the family's 1533-position model. The record is from RNAcentral.